UAGACCGAAGCUGUUCCUAUUCGGCCAUCUUGGCUCCUCCCUCCCGGUAGUUCUUAUAUGAUUGAAUGUUUGCAUUUAUUUCUGUAUUUCAUUAGAAUUUCACAGGCAAACUUGGGGGAUGGCAGUGUUAGUAUUCUCUCAGGAUAAUCUGGAAGAUAUUUUUAAAAACUUUUGGUUAGCCAGACAAUUCAAUUCACCAAAAGUUUACUACAUGUCUUAGGAUGUUUUCAGCUGGAAAAGCAAAAUGGAACAAAAUUUGAAAGUGGCUUAAACAAUAAAGGAUUUGUUACUUUACAUAAUAUCACAUCUGAAAGUGGACGUUUUCAUAGUGUGCUAAUCCAGUCCUCUUCUAAAUGAUCCAGGAGUCUCGAACCUUUCUACUCUGGAGGCAUUGCCUCUCCUCGUCUUUGCUGAAGCCAGAGGUCAUGUGCUCACACAAUCAUAUGGAGAAGCAUAAAUGAGCUAUUUCUCAUCACCUAGCUCUUUUUAUCAGGAUUAAAAAUCUUUCCUCAAAAAGUCCAGAAGCAUACUUCCCUCUAGCCUAGUUGGCCAGGAUUACAUAACAUGCCUCCGAUGGAACCAAUCACUGGUGAAGGGAGUGCAAUUAUUGUGAUUCUAGAUUAACUGUAAUAAUUGACAUUCACCCCCUGGAGCUGGGAUAGAAAGCCGAUUUACAGCAUCGCUGAGCAGGAAAAAAGAGAUGGCUGUUGAACAGGAGGCAACAUGCAAUGACAUAAUUAAUUGUUAAUGGAAUUCUAGCCAAAAGGAUGUGGGAGGAGAGGAAGGAGCCACAAAGGGAGAAUCAUGCCUAAGAGUUAACUAUGGUACUCUGAAGCAGAACAGAGACAGCAAAAGCCAAGAUCUUUGAUUAUCAGCAGACCUGCACUACAAGAUGUGUAAAGACAGCUCUUCAGGCAGAAGGAAUUUUACGAGAGAGAAAUUUUGAUGUAUACAAAGAAUGAAGAUUUCUGGAAGUGAUGAAAAUAAAGAUAAGUAUAAAAGUUUUUUCUUUUUAAUUACUCUAAAAGAUUAUUGGUUUUCUAAAGCAAAAAUAAGAGUGAUGUAUUUUGGCAUAUGCAAAAUUAAAAUGUGUGACCGCAAUAGCAUCACUAGUUAUGGGAGGGAGGAAUUGGAAGCAUGUGCUAUAAGGUUUUUAAAGCCUUCGAAGUAGUGUGAUAUUGUUUUAGUAAGACUGUGCUUUAUUUUUAUUUUUAUUAUUGAGAUAGGGUCUCAUUCUGUUGUCUAGGCUGGAGUGCAGUGGUGCAAUCUCAGCUCACUGCAACCUCCACUUCCCAGGUUCAAGCGAUUCUUGUGCCUCAGCCUCCUGAGUAGCUGGGACUAUAGGCACUCGCCAUCACGCCUAGCUAAUUUUUGUAUUUUUAGUAGAGAUGGGGUUCCACCACGUUGGCCAGGCUGGUCUCAAACUCCUGACCUCAGAUGAUCCACUUGCCUCAGCCUCCCAAAGUGCUGGGAUUACAGGCAUGAGCCACUGCGCCCGGCCUAAGACCGUGCUUUAUUAAUGAUGCACAUUAUAAAGCUUGAAACAGCUACUAAAAAUAAAACAUUUCUAAAAGAUAUAUGAAUAAUAGGCCAAAAGUGUAGAUAAGAUUGAAUGUAAAAAGAUAACCAAUCCAAAGCAAGCAGAAAAAGAGGAGCAAAGGAUGGACAGAAAAAUUUAAAACAACUAACAAAAUGGUAGGUUUUAAUAAGAAUAUAUCAAUAAUUAUAUUAAACAAAUUGUCUAAACAUAACAAAAGACACAGAUUAUCAAAUUUAAUAAACAAGCAACUCAUCAACUCUAUAUAGUCUUUAAGAAACUCAUUUUAAAUACAGGUUAAAAUUAAAAGAAUAGAAAAAGAUGGAUUAUAAAAACACUGAUCAAAAGAAAGGUGAAGGGACUAAAUAUCAAAGUAGACUUUAGAACAAAUGUUAUCAGGAAUCAUGAGGAACAUGACAUAAUGAUAAAGAAGACAUGGCAAUCAUAAAUGCGUAUGAACCUAACAAUGGAGCUUCAAAAUACAUUAAGCAAAAACUAAUGGAAUUAAAAGGGAAAUUGAUAAAUCCAUAAUUAUAGUUGGAAAUGUUAAUUUUCUUCUCUCAGUAAUUAAUAGAACAGAUAAAUUUUAAAUAUCAAUAACUUUAGAGAACAUGUGAGUAACACUGUCAACAAACUUAACCUACUUGGCAUUAGUAGAACAUUCUAUCCCACAAUAGAACAAUAGCACAAUACACAUUAUUUUCAAGUGCAAAUGGAAGUACACCAAGAUUGCCAUUUUCUUACUCAUAAAACAAACUUUAGCAAAUUUAAAAGAAUUGAAAUCAUACAAACCAUAUUCUCUGAUCGUACUGAAAUUGAUCUAGAAAUCAACAGAAAAAUACCUGGAAAAUUAUGGGGAAAAUGGAAAUUAAACAAUGCAGUUCUAUGUAAUCUAUGACUCAAUGAGUAAGGCAUAAUGGGAAUGAGAAAAUGUUUAAAAAUGAAUGAUAAUAAAAACACAAUAAAUUAAAAUUUGUGUAAUGCAUCUAAAGCAGUAAUGAAGGGAAAGUUAUAGCAUUAAAUGCUUAUAUAAGACAAGAAGAAAGACCUCUCAUCAGUAAUAUGGGUUUUCAUCUUAAGGAACUAGAAAGAGAAGAACAUAUUAAACCCAAAGCAGAAAGCAAGAAAUCAUAAAGAUCUGUGCAAAAAUCAGUGGAAUAGAAAACAGAGUAACAACAGAGAAAAUCAAUGAAAUCAAAAGCUUGCUCUUUGAGAUCAAUAACACUGAUGAAUCUCUAGUUAUGCUGAUCAGAGAGGGAAGCCAAAAAUAAUCAAUACUGGGGAUGAGAGCAGUGAAAUCACUACAUAGUCCACAGUAAUUAAAAGAUAACAAGGGGAUAUAUGAGCAACGUCAUGCCAAUAAAGUUGUUGCCACGGCUGAGUGUUUUAGGGGAGUGUUUGGCUGGAUGUUUUAGGGCACUGAUUGACUAUAGAUAAAAUAUUUUUUGUGGGUGAUGGAACUAUUCUAUGUCUUGAUUAUAACAUACAGCUGCACAGAUGUAUGUGUUUGUCAAAAUUUAUAGGACUGUACAUUAAAAUUGUUGAAUUUUAUCUUAUUUAAAUAAAUUUGUUAGUGCAGUUUAAGGCACUGUAUUGUGUCUCAGUCAUCCUUAACAUAUGUCGUAGCCAUAUAUAACUUUUGGACUUUUUCUUCUCUUGUUUUCAAUUUACAUAGAUUAAAAGAAUUGUUAGAUAUCAAAACAUUUAUUUAUUAAAACUUCUUGUCAUAGACUGGAGGAGAAUAUACAGCCAUGAAAACUACGUACAAUAUGGCGUCUUGAAUUGGAUCCUGGAGCAGACAAUGGGAUUACUGGGAAAACUGGUGAAGACUGGAAAAUAGAAAAAAUAGAGUCUCCAGGGAACUAAAAAUAGAAUUAAUGUACAGUUCAGCAAUCUUGCUGGGUAUCUACUCAAAGGAGAAGAAAUCAUUAUAUUAAAAAAUAGCUGUACUUCUAUGUCUAUUGCAGCAUCAUUCACAAUAGCAAUGAUACGAAAUCAAUCUAAAAUGUCCAUCAGUGGAUGACUGGAUAAAGAAAAUGUGGUAUUUAUGCAUACAGACACAUACACACAUAUACACACACACAAUAGAAUACUGUUGAGCCAUAAAAAAGAAUGAAAUCAUGUUCUUUUGCAGCAACAUGGAUGGUACUUGAGGCCAUUAUUUUAAGUAUAACCGCUCAGAAACAGAAAGUCAAAUACUGCACAUUCUUACUUAUAAGCGGGAGCUAAAUAAUGUGUACACAUUGACAUAGAGUGUGGAAUAAUAGACAUUAGACAAUCAGAAGGGUGAAACGGUGGUAAGAGGGUAAGGGAUUAGAAAUUACUUAAUGGGUACAAUGUACGUUACUCAGGUGAUGCAUACACUAAAAGCCCAGACUUCGCCACUGCACAAUAUAUCAAUGUAACAAAACUGCACUUAUACGCCUUAAAUUUAUACAAAUAAAAAAAUUUAAAAAUAGAG
RNAcentral lists this long non-coding RNA (3998 nucleotides) under Homo sapiens (human). Its description in RNAcentral is "HSALNT0008372". The record is from RNAcentral. Lineage: Eukaryota; Metazoa; Chordata; Mammalia; Primates; Hominidae.